This is a non-coding RNA of Bos taurus (domestic cattle), 72 nucleotides long. The record is from Rfam. Lineage: Eukaryota; Metazoa; Chordata; Mammalia; Artiodactyla; Bovidae.
UCCCUGGUGGCUCAGAGGUUAAAGCAUCUGCCUGCAAUGCGGGAGAGCUGGGUUCGAUCCCUGGGUUGGGAA